CAGAAGGAUAGGUCUGGGCGGUUAGGCCUCGCCUACAUCGGCAAACGGUCUUUAUGGCCGAACUGAACGCUGCCAGGAGGUUUGGUUUCGUUCGCUGACUCCAAAUUUCCGACUGAGAAGUCUUGCCCCAUGGGGCUGAUUAUUUAGCGAACCUCCCUAGGACCGGAAGGUAGCAAGGAUAAACUAGAUUGUUGGUGCUUGUGGGAUACAGGAUGGAGAAGGUAUUUGGGAUAAGUUAGUGAAUGGCUCUAAAUCAACUGACAGAGCUCCUUCUG
RNAcentral lists this signal recognition particle RNA (275 nucleotides) under Candidatus Aenigmatarchaeota archaeon. RNAcentral's name for it is "signal recognition particle sRNA". It matches the Rfam family "Archaeal signal recognition particle RNA". The record is from RNAcentral. Lineage: Archaea; Nanobdellati; Candidatus Aenigmatarchaeota.